GUGCCAGCCGCCGCGGUAAUUCCAGCUCCAAUAGCGUGUAUUAAAGUUGUUGUGGUUAAAAAGCUCGUAGUUGAACCUUGGGCCUGGCUGGCCGGUCCGCCUCACCGCGUGCACUGGUCCGGCCGGGCCUUUCCCUCUGUGGAACCCCAUACCCUUCACUGGGCGUGGCGGGGAAACAGGACAUUUACUUUGAAAAAAUUAGAGUGCUCCAGGCAGGCCUAUGCUCGAAUACAUUAGCAUGGAAUAAUAAAAUAGGACGCGCGGUUCUAUUUUGUUGGUUUAUAGGACCGCCGUAAUGAUUAAUAGGGACAGUCGGGGGCAUCAGUAUUCAACUGUCAGAGGUGAAAUUCUUGGAUCAGUUGAAGACUAACUACUGCGAAAGCAUUUGCCAAGGAUGUUUUCAUUAAUCAGGAACGAAAGUUAGGGGAUCGAAGACGAUCAGAUACCGUCGUAGUCUUAACCAUAAACUAUGCCGACUAGGGAUCGGACGGUGUUAUUCAUGACCCGUUCGGCACCUUACGAGAAAUCAAAGUGCUUGGGCUCCAGGGGGAGUAUGGUCGCAAGGCUGAAACUUAAAGAAAUUGACGGAAGGGCACCACCAGGGGUGGAGCCUGCGGCUUAAUUUGACUCAACACGGGGAAACUCACCAGGUCCAGACACAAUAAGGAUUGACAGAUUGAGAGCUCUUUCUUGAUUUUGUGGGUGGUGAUGCAUGGCCGUUCUUAGUUGGUGGGGGUGACUUGUCUGCCUAAUUGCGAUAACGAACGAGACCUUAACCUGCUAAAUAGCCCGCAUUGCUCCGGCAGUGCGCUGGCUUCUUAGAGGGACUUUCGGCUCAAGCCGAAGGAAGUUUGAGGCAAUA
This 862-nucleotide ribosomal RNA is filed under the name uncultured fungus. Its description in RNAcentral is "SSU rRNA". It matches the Rfam family "Eukaryotic small subunit ribosomal RNA", at positions 564 to 1455 of the family's 1831-position model. The record is from RNAcentral. Lineage: Eukaryota; Fungi.